Molecule: long non-coding RNA, 9304 nt
Filed under: Podarcis lilfordi (Lilford's wall lizard)
Lineage: Eukaryota; Metazoa; Chordata; Lepidosauria; Squamata; Lacertidae
Source: RNAcentral
GGUUCAGUUUGGCUUUCGUUUCCCAGCCCAGCCCCAAACUUUAAUUUCUGCCUAAAUCCCAGGGUUGUAGCCAACAAAGUUCUACUCAGAGUAGACCCAUUGAAAUCAAUGGACCUAAGUUAGGCAUGCCCAUUAAUCUAAAUGCAUCUCCUCUGAGCAGAACUAAUAUUGGAUCCAACCCUUUGUAAACCAUAAGUAAAAAUGCACAGUAUUUUGCAGCUGUACACAAAGUGCUUCCAUAUCUCAGGAAUUAAGCAGCCAUUUCUGCCUGUGUGCCCACAGAUUCAAGACUUAGCAGAGAGAACAAUGGUUUGCCCAUGAAAGUCCUUUGCUAUGUUCGAUCCUUAGGGCAUCAUGCAUGUACAAAGAGAGGGACUUCUCUGUGUUGGCACCCAGACUGUGAAAAUUCCCUCCCGAGGGAGAUAUGGCAGUCAUGAACACUUUAUUAGUUUCGACACCAGCUUAAACUCAUUUUAUUUUCCCAGUCAUUUUAUAUUAUGACAUUUUGCAGCUGGCUGAAUGGUUUUAUUCCUCUUAAUUUGAUGGUAUUCUUGGUGAUGUUUCAUAUGUAAUUUUAAACUUUGUAUACCACCCAGGACCCGUUUUUGGUUAUAGGUGGUUUAUUUUAUAUAUGAAAUGAGUACAUGAAUAAAUAAAUUGAGAUGUGGAGAUGUUGGAUUGCAACUCUCAUUAAUCCUUACCAUUGGUCAAGGUGGUUGGGACUGAUGGGAGCUCAGGUUGUGAUAUCACCACACUGCAGGAUCCCUGUGCUUUCUCUGCUGUGGAUGCCAAAUUGGUUUCCUGCUUUAAAAAAAAGCAGAGAAAAUUUCAAGAAAGCUUCUACCCUCAUCUCCAGCUGUAGUGCAGUUCUUACUGUUUUUACUAUAAUGCUGUGGAAGAAAAUGUGUUUUGAUUUAUGAAAAAAAUAUCCAUGCUAAUAUGUUUCUUUAGCUAAAACAGGUUGUUUCAUUGAGGGAGAAAUGAAUCAACUCUAGAUAUGCAUUCGUAAAACCCAAUCCUACAAUCGGUCUAAGGUAAAGGUAAAGGUACCCCUGCCCAUACGGGCCAGUCUUGCCAGACUCUAGGGUUGUGCGCUCAUCUCACUCUAUAGGCCGGGAGCCAGCGCUGUCCGCAGACACUUCUGGGUCACGUGGCCAGCGUGACAAGCUGCAUCUGGCGAGCCAGCGCAGCACACGGAACGCCGUUUACCUUCCCACUGGUAAGCGGUCCCUAUUUAUCUACUUGCACCCAGAGGUGCUUUCGAACUGCUAGGUUGGCAGGCGCUGGGACCGAACGACAGGAGCGCACCCCGCCGCGGGGAUUCGAACCGCCGACCAUGUGAUCGGCAAGUCCUAGGCGCUGAGGUUUUACCCACAGCGCCACCCGCGCCCCUCACAAUUGGUCUACUUGGAAGUAAAUCUCACUGAUUUCAGUGGGAGUUACUCCCUUGUAAGCGUACUCCAGGAUUUUUGCCUUGGGGGGGGGUAUAAACAGUUUGUGCUUUUAAGGAUUUCUGGUUAUCACCAGUCUUGUGAUAUAGGAGGAUAUAGUCAAGAUUUUCCUUUUCAGAUCAGGGGCUGAGUCAAGGCUCUGCUUUGGACUGCACAACUUGCAAAUGUUAUAGAAAGUGAUAUCUGAAUCAAUUGUGUAAUCUAGUGAGGAAUACCAGAAAAGACAUUGAUUGGAAUACCAUAAUUUCUGGCGAUAGUGCUGUGCUUGCCAGCACAGGAUUGGGCUGAGGCAGUGAGGUUGGACGAGUUUUGGGUUGGUGGCAGGGGUGAGGCUGCAUUUGUGUGUACACCUGUGGGGUGACAUGCCACCAAGCCAGUAGUCUCCCAGGCUUGCCACCACACCACCCUGUCCUGGUAAGUGCAGCACCACUGCGAAGGCACUGCUCUGCCCGACCUCAUUCACCACUGCUAGUAGAGUUGGAUGCUCUCAUGUUGCAUUUCAAUUGGAGCUGAUAGAUACAAAUUAUAAUUUGUUUUCAUCCAAUUAAGUCAGACUCUCAUAAGUUUAUUUUUCUUUUAGCAUUAUAGUUCGAUGUUUCUCAAAAUGGCACAGUUGAUUCCAGAGCAGGGAGGGACCUUGGAAGUUGGGAAGAAGGCACAGGGGUAGGACUUGAUUGGCCUCCCCCCCCCUCCCUUUAUGGAAAUAGAUGUCUUUAUUACAGUACAAUGUAAUGAUGAAGAAAAUAAAGGUGACUGAGGAGAACUCCUCGAAGGUGUUAAUGGAUGUAAACAGGAACCAACCUGUGCAGCCUUUUGGUGGUGCUACUAUUAUUAUAAUUUUUUAUUAUUUAUUUAUUUGGCAGAGAGUAUGUUGUAUGAGCAAGGACAAAACAGACAUAAGAAUUUGAUAUUGUAGUUUCUGGCUAGGUGAGUAGAAUAGUAGUGGGGCUCCCUAUCUGGUUGAAUGGGUUGGUCAGGUUUUCAUCAACUGCAUAGAAGGAUGGCAAGUUCAUUGUGGUCUGACAACUCCUGAAGUGUGUCCUGAUCAACAUUUCAGAUGUGAGCAUCCAAGAGUAGGAUUUUGGUUUGUUUUAUAAUGAACUCUGAUCCCACUUAUGAGUCAAGGCCUCAAUCCAAAUAAAGUUGCUCAUGAUGAGUCUCAUGAAAAUCAGUGGAACAAAGUAUUCCCAACUAAAGUUGUGCUUUUUAAAAACUAAGUUAAGAAAUUAUUAAGCUUAGCUGGAUCGUGACUUAUUUGUUUCACCAACCGAAUUUGGCAUUCCUGUCCUUUCCAUUGUAAUUUUAUUGUUCUUUAUCAUAUUUAUUAGACAGUUCUCUAUUGAAAAACGCUCAAAAGGGCAAAAGUAAAAUGGCUUUAUACAAAAUCAUUUCAGCUUCAGAAUAUGGAUUAAAAAGUAUUUAGUUAUGUAUAAUGUACAAAUGGACUGUAGUUCAUAUUGAUAUCUGUAUCAUUUUGGCAAUAUAGGUGAUCUUGGCAUCUCUGAUUUUCUCCUUUCCAUAUAUGGAGUUUUAAUGGGAAUGACUGCAGAGUUGGGCUCUGCAUUAGGAAAUAUCCUGAAAAAUGAACUCGUCAUUGAGAGAUGGUUCAAGCAGUUGAUUGGACUAAUGUAGAGAGAACUAAGUGCCAAGUGCAUUAAACAUGAAACCCUAUCAGCCUUAAACAUUGUCAACAAAAAUCCAUACACAUAUUACUUUUCUCUCAUUUUUGUCUUACAUUCACAAUGAUGACCUCAGCACAGGGCAUUUCCUGAGUAUUAAUGACCAUUCAGAGUUAAUGGCCCUCGGUUUUGCCUCGAGACAUCAGCUCCUCCUAACUGGUCAUUAAUUCCCAGGAAAUGCCCCAUGCCGAGGUCAUUAUUGCUUAAUUAUCUCCAUACACUUUAAUGCCAGUUUUGACAAUGUACAGUCUUGUGCCAUGAGUUAUGUGUCUUUUACAGUUCGUUUAAUAGCUCAUCAUUAAAACUGCAGAUGAUCUUGAUUAUUAUUUAUUAAUGUUUUCCUUUAUUAUUAUUUUUGUGGUGUGUCCAUACAUGUCUUACGCAAGGGAGUAAGAUGUGCUGCCUGGUUCUAAAAUGUGCCAGAAGCAAUGUCGUGGGCAUGGUUUCUAGAUAGAGACAGAAUUUGGGAGGCAUUAUGGGGAAGAAAGUAAAAUAAAACACCCUUCAAGCAUUUGUCGCUUCAGGCUUGUAGUACAAAUCGGUGUGCUCGAAAUAAAAUUGCCAAGCAAUUCAUUCACAGGAUCCUCAAUGGCCGGUAAAGUUUGUCGAAAGAGAAAUGAGGAUCAGGCAAAAUCUCUACAAAGUUUCCUGGGUGUUUUGUAGUCUUGAGGUAGGAAGUAGUAUUGAGGUGCUGUUGAUCAUUUCAUUCUCAAGUGCCUGUGAGACUAAGCAACUGAGUGAGAAGGAAAGGCGGCCCCAGAGAGUAUUUCAUUCAGAGCAAAAUGACAGACCGAGGACUUCUUUGUACAAGAUCAAUUUUUUGUCAUGCAAGUCACUUCCAUGUAUGCAGUUGCCUGAAUGUUACAUGCAGUUAGAUCACUGGCAACUGCACACAUUGACUACACACAACUGGAAGCUAAUGCACAUCAGUGUAGUGAAGUAAACAUGCAGGAAGUAUCCUAGGAGAAAUGAGCUCUGUGCAUGAAAAGUUGUCUUGUGUGAGAAAGAGAUGUAGAAGCAGAGAAAGGUGUUUCAUGCUAAAGAUCAAAGUGGUAUGUCAAAGCAUCCUGGCCAUAUCACAACAGCAAACUAUGCCAUCAUUGUGAAAUGUGCUGAGUCAAACUCUUACCCCUGCUGAAGUGCUAUUGACUGUAAUUUGGCAUUGGAGAUUGCAAGAAGGAAAACUGUCUCCAAAUCUGGCAAGAAAAUGCAUUGGAAGAGAUGGAGCCAGAGGAAUAUGUUGUGGGAGAGUGUACUGGCUCUGAUGAAUGGAAGGAACCUUUCCAUUCAUGUAGCAGCAGAUCUGGAUCCAACGUGUUGUCUAACUCACCAUCCAUAUGAACAGUAAUGUGUAAUAAUAUAUCUGACUGGGUAGGGGAGAGAUUCUGCAUACCUCUGGAAGGGGCCACAUAGAAUUAUAUCAUGAGCUGUAUUCUAUAACUAGUUUGCAUAUUUUAGAAUUGAUUAAUUAGAUAUUUGAAUUAAAUAAUUACAAUUUGAACAGACAUGGAAUCUCCUUAUAAUUAUCUGUUAGUUGUGAGAAACCAGUAGCAGACCAUCUUGAUAAGUGACUGUAGGUAGAAUGGAGACUUUAUUUCUUUAUUUGAUUUCUGUCCUGUCUUUGCUUGAGCAGCUCAAGUGGUGGCAUACCUGUUUUCUCCCCUCUCCAUUUUAUCCUCACAACAACCCUGUGAGUUAGGUUAGGCUAAGAGACACUGACUGGCCCAAGGUCACCUGAUGAGCUUCAUGAUAUUGGGGAUUUGAACCCUGGUCUCCCAGGUCCAAGUCCAGCAUUCUACGUACUGAAACCGCAGAACUGGCAAGGCAAACUGAGAAAACAAAACAUUGAACUGUUUUGCAUGUGAUGCCAAACUAAACCAUGGCUAAGCGUGAGCAAUAAACCCCUACCCUGGUCCUCCUGUUGAUGCUCCUUGGAGUUAACUUAGCAUUAUGUCCAAACCUGUGCUCGUGGCUUUUCUCAUUCCAGACAAAUCAUGAUCUGUAGCCAAGGUUCAUUUGGCUUUUGGUUUAUCAGGCAUAGGCAAACCAUGAACCCAGGUUCAGACGUAUCACUGGACCAUAGCUGUCAACGUUUUCCCUUUUUAAAGGGAAAUUCCCAUUAUUCCAAAUAGGAUUCCUCGCAAGAAAAGGGAAAAGUUGACAGCUAUGCACUGGACCAAACCAUGGCUCCAGGUAAUGUGGCAUCAUCCUAGAGACUCUUCAGCAUCUGAGUAUUCAGGUAGAGAAAGAAGUGUGUCUCAUCAUUUUCCAUGGUCCAUUAGUGACAAGGCAUAAUUUUUGCCAGGACUUGGUCUAUCUUAAACAUCACUUGCUAGAAAGUUAAGCAUGCCUAGCACUGAAUAUUUCACCAGCGAAUGUGUUUCCAAACUGAAUUAACCUCUUAAUCAUACUUACUGAUCUCAGUUGUUGUGUUUUUCUUAAAGGAGAGCCUGCUUUUAUUUCAAAGAAAGCCAUGGUGCCUCAUUCUCAUUUAUGUGUAAGCCAAUUUGCACCACUCCGGCAGCGUGAAGGGCUCUUGAAGUGGGAGUAAACAUUAUUUGCACCAACUUGGAGAGCUCUUUGUGCAACCUCCAGAAGCGGCAUGGAGGGCUCUCAGCAGAGAAUCAUUGUGGUGAACGCCGUUCAAAAGAAACAAAUAAAAAAAAAGCAUAUGGAAAAUUAGAAAUUAGCACAUUUCUAGAAAGAUUUUAUUUUAUUUUAUUUUAUUUAUCAAUGGUUGACUUGUUAGUAAUCUGGGAUAGGGGCUGGGAAGAAAUUCUACAAUAACACCUAAACGAAAAGUUGAGAUAAUUGUUUUUCAAGCCAAAAACCAAUGAUUCCUUUUUUCUUGUUUAAAGCGAGAGCUAAGAUCCAGGACCAAGUUAAAGGAACCAAAGGUUACUGUACCGUGAAUGAGUGCAGUGUGCAGAAGCUGGUAUUGUAGAGAGAACUGAGGUUAGGAUUUCGGCAGAAGCCCUGAAGAAUCGGGGACUUGCUGGCCCUCCCCUCCCUUUCUACCUUCAGUCAGUAGUGGCAUUGUAGCCUGCCAUGAAUCGGUUCUUAGAUUGGUGUCUCCUUGCAAUAAAUCCUGACCAUAGGACUGUGCUCAGGGUGGGCAGCGAGGCUCGGACAAGAAGGGGGCAGCCUCUGUGUUGUGGUGUCGUUAGCGACAUGUAGCAGAAGUUCUCGCUGAACGGAAAAGCUCUGGCUCCAGAGUGUCGCCAGUGAAAGUAGAAACAUAAGUCGCACACGGGGGUGAGAAGGAGAGAUCAUUGCCUCAACUAUAGGGAUUCACUCUGGAGGUGGAGGCAGGAUGAUUUGGGACACUGGGUGUUUGUUUGGAGAUUUAAAGGAAAGGGAGAGCAGGGGUCAGGAAAACCUCUUUCGGAGCCUAGCAAACGAUUAAAGCCUUGUGAUUUAAAGAAACAGCAACCCACGCUAUGUGUAGAUUUUCUUUUCAACCUGAAGACAAGAUUUCUACACCCCCCCCCCACCUCCAUUCUAUUCUGCUAUCUGUAUUCAUUUUUUAUGAUGGCCCCUUUAAGAGGCAAAAGCAUGUCACUAGGUGUAAGGAACUUUUAACACUUUUUCAUCUUUUCAGCAUUUGUAUAAUUACUGUUAAGCCACAUUGGAAAGCCUGGGGCCUAGUGAUCACUAAGGUAGUGUUAGGUUUCAUAAGCAAGGAGAAGGAGGGGGUGGGGGGAACCACUCUUGAACUUACUGCUCAGAUAAAUUGGCUGCAAAACCUGUGCCAUAUGCUGUAAGACCAACCAAAUAAUUAUGCAUAAUAAUAAUAGGCAAUAAAAGCAAAGCCAAUCAGAUUCUUAUCAUCUGGUGGCAACUUCUGACUUAAAUCUGUUUUGUUCCACAGCAUUAAUACCCAGUAAAUCAUGUUGGUAUGUUGCUUUUCACUUGAAUGUAAAAGUGUGUAUACAUAAAUGGUUUGUAGGGGAAACAGACUCUGCAUUCGGUGGUGACUGCAACCACACCCCUCCUAUAAAAUGUAAGAGUGGGAGACACAAAACUCCAGGGAUGAGAAAUAUAUUCAUCUAAUGCAAGGCUGUUUUUGGAUACCUUUUUCUUUUUGUUCGUUUGUUUUGUUUGCAUCUUCUGUGAAACCAAAAUGACACAGUUGGGCAUAGUCAAAGAAGCAUAAAAAUAAGGAGAAAUAAACAGGAGUGAAGAAUAGCCCCAAAUAAAAACAAAAUAUAUAUUUGAAAGCUGCUCAUUAGAAGAGGGUCUCAUCCAAAUGAUCAAAGUCCUGUGAAAGCAGCACAAGAAAUUACCAAAAGAGAGCCAAGGUUUGGUUUGUUGAUCUGAAAUUGGGGCGAGUCAGAUUUGGAUUUAACGGCCAGUCUCUCUGUGACAGUGCAUUGUGCCUCAGUUUUCUGACCUGUGAAAUGGGAUUAUUACAGCAUAUGCACAUCAGGAUUUGAGAUGAUAACACAUUUAAGAUUAGGUACCCUUUACUAGGAAGACAGGAGUGCCUGGCAUGCUCUGGUCCAUGGGGUCACGAAGAGUCGGACAUGACUAAACGACUAAACAACAACAACCGUUUACUAGCGAAAAGAAGAAAAAAGUUUGUUGCUCCAGCAAGUAGGAACUUAGGCUCGGUGGGCUGUUGAUCUGGGGACCUAGAACAGACAGUACCCUGUCAUUAGAUGGACUGGUAUCCAGCAUGGUGUGAGUGGAUUUUGCCUUCCUCUUCUGUUCCCUGCAGAUCCCCAGAGAUCCCUCUGCCAAAUCUGCUCGAGAGGCUCCCCUGGUGAGCAUGUGGUGAGGGGGGAGGGCUUCAGGGGGAAGAGAGGAAGGGAAGUCUUGUUCCACUAGCAGAUAGGAAAAAAACGGAUCUCAUGUUUUAAUUUAUGUGAGAAAACUCAAGCAACAUAUCUUUUGAAGCAACCCCCCCCCCCUUGAGGCAGCAUCUGUACCCAUUACUCUCUGAACUGUGAGCACAAUCAAACAUUAAAAUGCAGCAUCUUGCAAUACAAUGAAAAAUCUCCCACCAUAUUUGAAGAAAUCCUGGAGUGUUUGGGCAGGGCAUAAAGGCCUCACAUCCUGCCAUAUAGGUUGGUGGUGGAGCAGGGCUGAGCUGCAAUCUCGCAGAGGCUUUGAGGUCUGGAAGUGGCAGGCAGACAGCUCAGGAGAUAGAUGGCAAUUAGGAUUUAGAAGCAACCUGGGAGAUAAGGAGCCACUGAGGAUUUAUUGUAUAUGUAUGGACAGAAAGAAAAAGUCAGUGCAUGGGGAGGAGACAAGGGAGGUGGAAUACAGUAAAUCUCCAGUGACUCCCAUUUGCUGGCUGUUCCUGCAUCCUAAUAGCUGUCUCUGUGCAGGCCACAGAGGUCUAUUGCUUUUUUUUGCUUUGACUCCAGGAUGCCUUUUCCAUUUUCUGCCCAGCCCUCCUUGCAUCCUCUGGCCUAUUUUCCUUCAUUAGCUUCUUUUUUCCUCAUGUCCAGAGCUGCCAUUUACUUCCUCAGCUGUUCCUUGCUGAUAUGCACUUCUCCACGCAUAGAUCGGGAGCUGAGUUCCUCCUCAUCACCCCUCAUUCAAACACUGGAGUACAAAAUAAGUAUAUGCAUAAAGUCCCAGUUAAGGAUGGGGUAAUUGUGUUAAAAUUUAAAAAUAAUAAUAAUACAUGGACGUUGCGACCAAGACACAGUUGGGGCCUUUCUUAUACUAUAUAUGUGCCUUUCAUAAUGUGUUAGUAGUAUGUAUUGAACAUGACCAUCUGUAUCUGAAUACAAAACCUUAGAAUGAUGAUGACACAGGAAAUACAGUGGUACCUCGGGUUACAUACGCUUCAGGUUACAUACGCUUCAGGUUACAGACUCCACUAACCCAGAAAUAUUACCUCUGGUUAAGAACUUUGCUUCAGGAUGAGAACAGGAAUCGUGCAGCGGUGGCGCAACGGCAGCGGGAGGCCCCAUUAGCUAAAGUGGUGCUUCAGGUUAAGAACAGUUUGAGGUUAAGAACAGACCUCCAGAACGAAUUAAGUUCUUAACCCGAGGUACCACUGUAUACAGAACAGGGUGGGCAGAAUCAGCCUUGUUCCCAUGAAGGGGAAUCCUAAGAGCUGAUUUUCAGUGGAUGGUGGUAUGGAAGGAAAGAGUUAAAUCUCUUCUGCAUGCACAGAGCUGCUGAGCCUGAGAACCCAGCACUACUAUUUAAAGUCUU